GGAGGGGUGGGCGAGUGGCUAAAACCAGCAGACUGUAAAUCUGCCGCCUUAACUGGCUACGCAGGUUCGAAUCCUGCCCCCUCCA
RNAcentral lists this transfer RNA (85 nucleotides) under Pseudomonadota bacterium. RNAcentral describes it as "tRNA-Tyr". It matches the Rfam family "tRNA". From Rfam's summary of the family: Transfer RNA (tRNA) molecules are approximately 80 nucleotides in length. Their secondary structure includes four short double-helical elements and three loops (D, anti-codon, and T loops). Further hydrogen bonds mediate the characteristic L-shaped molecular structure. tRNAs have two regions of fundamental functional importance: the anti-codon, which is responsible for specific mRNA codon recognition, and the 3' end, to which the tRNAs corresponding amino acid is attached (by aminoacyl-tRNA synthetases). tRNAs cope with the degeneracy of the genetic code in two manners: having more than one tRNA (with a specific anti-codon) for a particular amino acid; and 'wobble' base-pairing, i.e. permitting non-standard base-pairing at the 3rd anti-codon position. RNAcentral also lists the same sequence under 2 other names. The record is from RNAcentral. Lineage: Bacteria; Pseudomonadati; Pseudomonadota.